UAUUAAUUAUUUAAUUUUUUAUUUAUUUAUAUUUCAUAUUUUAGAAAUAACUUUUAUUUUAGUAUUUUUUAAAAAAUAAAUAUAUUUUAUUUAUAGUUUAUUUAACUGUGAAGGUUAAUAUUUUAAUAAUAUAUAAGUAGAUUUUAUUUUUUGUACCUUUUGUAUCAGGGUUUAUUUAUAAUCUUUAAUUUAUUAUAUUAUUAUCCCGAAAUUAAAAGAUUUAUCAAGAAAUUGAUUAUUUAAUGUUUCAUAAUUAUUUUUAAAUUCUUGAUAGAGGUUAUAUGCUAUUCAAUUUUAAAUAUCUGGUUUCUUAAUAAUUGAAUUUAAUUCAUAGGUUAGGAUUAAUAUUUAAUGUAUAAUUUUAUUUAUAUUAAAUUUAUAACCUUAAGAUUAUAAGGGAUAAGCUUUAUAAUUUGUUUAUACUUUAUUUUUUUAAUUAAUGUUAUGUAGGAUUAAAAAUUUCUUUCUUAAUUAUUUUUUAAUAAUUAUGCAUUAUUAUUUAUUUAUUUAUUAAAAAGUUAGUUUUUUAUUAAGAAUUAUUAAAUAAUUAUUAAUUAUUAAUUAUAAUGAUAGAAUUAGUAGUUUAAUGUAAAUUAAUAUAUAGUAAUUUGGCAAGUUUGUUCUUCACCUGUUUAACAAAAACAUGUCUUAAUGUUUUUAUUUAUUAAGUCUGGCCUGCUCAAUGAUUAAUUAUUAAAUAGCCGCAGUAUAUUGACUGUGCGAAGGUAGCAUAAUCAUUUGUCUUUUAAUUGGAGACUUGAAUGAAUGGUUUUAUGAGGGAACACCUUUCUUUAUAUUAAAUUUUGAAUUUAAUGUUUGUGUUAAAAAGCAUAAAUUUAUAAAUGGGACGAGAAGACCCUAUAGAAUUUUAUUUUAUAUGAAAUUAUUUGAUCUAUUGGUUUAAUAUUAGAUAUAAAUUUAAUUUAGAAUUUUGUUGGGGCGACAUUGAGAUUUUUUUUACUCUCAUAUUUAAUUUUUUAUUAAUUUUUAUAUUUAGGAUCCUUAUUUAAGGAUAUUUAGUUUAAAUUACCUUAGGGAUAACAGCGUAAUUUUUUUGGAGAGUUCUUAUUGAUAAAGAAGUUUGCGACCUCGAUGUUGGAUUAAAAUUAGAUUUAAGUGCAGAAGCUUAAUUUUCUAGGUCUGUUCGACCUUUAAAUUUUUACAUGAUCUGAGUUCAGACCGGCGUGAGCCAGGUCGGUUUCUAUCUUUUUAAUUAUUCAUUUAUAAUUUAGUACGAAAGGACCAAUUAUAACAAAUAUUUUGUUAAUAUCUGAAUUCUUUUAAGUAAA
Molecule: ribosomal RNA, 1289 nt
Filed under: Gonopsis coccinea
Lineage: Eukaryota; Metazoa; Arthropoda; Insecta; Hemiptera; Pentatomidae
Description: 16S ribosomal RNA
Rfam family: Archaeal large subunit ribosomal RNA (bases 1037-1196)
Source: RNAcentral